GAGGGUUUUAAGUAGUGCCCUGGUCUAAAGUAGUGCCCUGCAUAGGGAAUAGGGUGCCAUAGAGCCCUGGUCUAAAGUAGUGCCCUGCAUAGGGAAUAGGGUGUCAUAGAGCCCUGGUCUAAAGUAGUGCCCUGAUUAGGGUGCCAUAGAGCCCUGGUCUAAAGUAGUGCCCUGCAUAGGGAAUAGGGUGUCAUAGAGCCCUGGUCUAAAGUAGUGCCCUGCAUAGGGAAUAGGGUGUCAUAGAGCCCUGGUCUAAAGUAGUGCCCUGAUUAGGGUGUCAUAGAGCCCUGGUCUAAAGUAGUGCCCUGCAUAGGGAAUAGGGUGUCAUAGAGCCCUGGUCUAAAGUAGAGCACUGGUCUAAAGUAGUGCCCUGCAUAGGGAAUAGGGGUGCCUUUGGGCCUUAGCCAUAGUUGGAUGAUGCGUGGGGAGGGCUGAGGUUAAGUUAAACAAAACAAAACUGUUUCCUUUCAGUAAAAGACGAAUAGUUUGUAGACUGCUGAGGUAUUUCCAUGUUUAGUGCUACAGUUAUAAUAAUUAGAUAAAUCUAAAGAUGAUAUGUUCUUCUGUAGAGCUGGCUUGAACACAUCUCCUCUCCGUUUUUGUUUCUACGGCGAUUGAUUGACCUCCAAACCCAAAGAUCCCACCCAUGUCACAUCGUGUGAGUGAUUCGAUUGGCUCCUCUCUAAA
This is a long non-coding RNA of Oncorhynchus tshawytscha (Chinook salmon), 687 nucleotides long. NCBI's taxonomy places the organism in Eukaryota, Metazoa, Chordata, Actinopteri, Salmoniformes, Salmonidae. The record is from Ensembl.